UUGGUGACCAGCGGAGGGAUCAUUACCGAGUUUACAACUCCCAAACCCAAUGUGAACGUUACCAAACUGUUGCCUCGGCGGGAUCUCUGCCCCGGGUGCGUCGCAGCCCCGGACCAAGGCGCCCGCCGGAGGACCAACCAAAACUCUUAUUGUAUACCCCCUCGCGGGUUUUUUAUAAUCUGAGCCUUCUCGGCGCCCCUCGUGGGCGUUUCGAAAAUGAAUCAAAACUUUCAACAACGGAUCUCUUGGUUCUGGCAUCGAUGAAGAACGCAGCGAAAUGCGAUAAGUAAUGUGAAUUGCAGAAUUCAGUGAAUCAUCGAAUCUUUGAACGCACAUUGCGCCCGCCAGUAUUCUGGCGGGCAUGCCUGUCCGAGCGUCAUUUCAACCCUCGAACCCCUCCGGGGGGUCGGCGUUGGGGAUCGGCCCUCCCUCUGCGGGGGCCGUCUCCGAAAUCCAGUGGCGGUCUCGCCGCAGCCUCUCCUGCGCAGUAGUUUGCACACUCGCACCGGGAGCGCGGCGCGUCCACAGCCGUUAAACACCCAACUUUCUGAAAUGUUGACCUCGGAUCAGGUAGGAAUACCCGCUGAACUUAAGCAUAUCA
RNAcentral lists this ribosomal RNA (601 nucleotides) under Trichoderma pleuroti. RNAcentral describes it as "eukaryotic LSU rRNA". The stretch from base 226 to 379 matches the Rfam family "5.8S ribosomal RNA". The record is from RNAcentral. Lineage: Eukaryota; Fungi; Ascomycota; Sordariomycetes; Hypocreales; Hypocreaceae.